RNAcentral lists this transfer RNA (72 nucleotides) under Brassica napus (rape). RNAcentral describes it as "tRNA-Cys (GCA) (tRNA-Cys-GCA-13-1)". It matches the Rfam family "tRNA". Rfam says of the family: Transfer RNA (tRNA) molecules are approximately 80 nucleotides in length. Their secondary structure includes four short double-helical elements and three loops (D, anti-codon, and T loops). Lineage: Eukaryota; Viridiplantae; Streptophyta; Magnoliopsida; Brassicales; Brassicaceae. The record is from RNAcentral.
GGGUCCUUAGCUCAGUGGUAGAGCAUUUGACUGCAGAUCAAGAGGUCACCGGUUCAAACCCGUUAGGGCCCU